Molecule: ribosomal RNA, 253 nt
Filed under: uncultured bacterium
Lineage: Bacteria
Description: partial 16S ribosomal RNA
Rfam family: Bacterial small subunit ribosomal RNA
Source: RNAcentral
AAUCAACGCUGGCGGCGUGCCUAACACAUGCAAGUCGAACGAGAAAGUGGAGCAAUCCAUGAGUAAAGUGGCGCACGGGUGAGUAACACGUGACUAACCUACCCUUGAGUGGGGGAUAACCUAGGGAAACCUGGGCUAAUACCGCAUAAUACCUACGGGUCAAAGGAGCAAUUCGCUUUAGGUAGGGGGUCGGCGGCAGAUUAGUUAGUUGGCGGGGUAAGUGGCCCACCAAGACGAUGAUCGUAUCCGGCCU